Molecule: ribosomal RNA, 301 nt
Filed under: uncultured bacterium
Lineage: Bacteria
Description: partial 16S ribosomal RNA
Rfam family: Bacterial small subunit ribosomal RNA
Source: RNAcentral
CAGUCGCCGCGGUAAUACGUAGGUGGCAAGCGUUGUCCGGAUUUAUUGGGCGUAAAGCGAGCGCAGGCGGUCAAUUAAGUCUGAUGUGAAAGCCCCCGGCUCAACCGGGGAGGGUCAUUGGAAACUGGUUGACUUGAGUGCAGAAGAGGAGAGUGGAAUUCCAUGUGUAGCGGUGAAAUGCGUAGAUAUAUGGAGGAACACCAGUGGCGAAGGCGACUCUUUGGUCUGUAACUGACGCUGAGGCUCGAAAGCGUGGGUAGCAAACAGGAUUAGAUACCCCUGUAGUCCCUGUCUCUUAUAA